MicroRNA precursor from Gadus morhua (Atlantic cod), 62 nucleotides. The record is from Ensembl. Lineage: Eukaryota; Metazoa; Chordata; Actinopteri; Gadiformes; Gadidae.
AGAAUAAUGCCAGCAGUCGGCCGUGCUGCGAGCGCCUCUGGCCAGCGCUGGUGUUAUUGGGA